UUGCAUGCCUGGCGUCCUCUCGUGUCUCUCCGCCUCUGUACCCCUCUCUCCCGCUCGACGAAAUGCCUCAGAGACCUCGGUCUGUUGUACUCUCUUUCUCCAACUCCAUCCUCCGUUCCUUCCCUGGGAAGGGCUGCGCCCUCCUCCAGCUCAAUGCCCGACUACCGCACCCUCGCUCUCCUCAUGAAAGGCCUCCUUCUCCUCCUUCACACCGAAAUCGCCAUGGUUUGCCGCUCUCGGAUCAUCAAAUCCGGCCUCUGACCACUUUCCUUCUCUAAUUCUGCCUUAACCACGGUCUGCCCAACCACUGCUGUACGAACUCAAAAGGGACUCCAUCGGAAUCUAACGUUCAAGGCCUUCUUCGAUAUCAAACGUGGGAGCGAGUUACACCAGCUAAUGAUCAAGAAGAACAAAGCUCAUCAUUGUUUUGGAAUCCUGACACAAAGCGGGCGGUGGCAUAUAGUUUAUUAAGACGAGCCCAGGAUGGAGAUUAUAGCAUCACAGAAUCUUCAAACAUGCGGGAACCAUCAUGAACGGAUUAAGAUAGUUUCAAAGGUGUUAUGUAGUGUGAUUUUGGCGAGUGGUAGGAGUUGGACUAUCGGUAGGUUGGCAGUCCCUUGGAUGGAUGAAAGGAUCAUGCACCCCCGAUAUUGGAAGCAUGCUACAUCAAUCAUCGACAUUGGAUCUAGGCCCCGUUGCCUCUCAAUCCGAGUUAGAAAAGGCCAGUCCUGUCUUAUAGAAACAGGCUGCAUUGUUAAACAGGUCAUGAUACAGCAAAGAGGAGUCAAAUGCCACAGCCUACAAAUUAAC
This is a non-coding RNA of Elaeis guineensis (African oil palm), 810 nucleotides long. The record is from RefSeq and is a predicted model, not a curated record. Lineage: Eukaryota; Viridiplantae; Streptophyta; Magnoliopsida; Arecales; Arecaceae.